GGCACAUUCAGAUUACAAGUCAUUCAGUUGCCUUUGUUGCCGGAUCAGAUUCCUCAUCGUUGCCCCCCUGACGGGACCGACGCUGUACUCACAAUGAUUUCACAACUACACUUUCAAGUGUCAGGAAUCAAACUGCGGGCCGUGGUGGACUCCACGUCUGGAUUUUCAUAUUGAAUUAUCCGCUCUGGUGGAACGGCGACCUUCGCUCUGUGUGCGGAUCGAAGCUCUUCUUGAUUCGUCUCUCCUGCCGAGAGCCCUGAGGGACCUCAUCUGGUUAAACAUAGCUGGGUUCACGCAGGAAUAAAGGCUAAGUAUAGAAAGAACAUCAGUUAAUUCAGCAUAUAGAGGAAACACUUUGUAGAGACAAGUGAAACAACUGAGACUGAGCCCUGAACAGCGGAGCUUCCUUACAUCAUUCUUCUGAAGUUUUAAUGUGAACUUGAUGAGCCGACAGUAUUAGAUUUGAUCUGUUUGAGUCCUGGGGCCGUCUUCCCUGUCCACCAAGUCUGCUGCAACUGAUGUUCUCCACUCCCUGCUGUUCUCCCCCAGGUUGUCGCAGGGAAAGUUUCAUAGCUACAGAGACACAGAGCGUCCCUGUAAUCAAAGUGAUGAUGGAAGAAGUACCACCUUUACUUUGGGUAAAAUUUACUCAAAGUCCUGAACCAACCAGAGUUUCUUCCUGUGUAACUGUCAAUGUUACAGGGGUGUGGUAAAUGGCUGUUCAUAAUCCAUUACAAUCGAAACCAGACAGCCUUUAAAGUUGGAUAGGAUAGCAAAAGCACGUAUAUAAGCAGGUAUGGUGAUAGCUGUCGCCCACACAAGAGUUUGUCAAGGGUAUUGAAGAUCUGCAGAGUUUAUUCAUGGUUAAACUGUAACCUGCAUGAUUCGUUUACCACCGCCAGACACGUUUCCCUCUGAUUCAGUGCCAGUGUUUCUAUUUCAGUUGUAAAGUGACUGACGAUCUUGUUUAUCAAAUCCUAAAUAAUCUGUCUAUGAAAAACACAGCACCUCAACCUGAAGCGAACAGGAACUGUCAAAACAUGGAGCAACCAAAACCAGAAACGCUGACACCUUGCAACAGCUUACAGUUCUGCCUCCACAAGACAAACUUCACUUCCUCACACCUCAACACUCAGCUCAGGUGCACCGCCGUUGCCCCCACAAACUCAAACCUAGCAAGGUUAGCUGUCAAGCAGCUGAACAGACGUGCUCAACAUGAGGUUUCUAAACACAAAUACAAGUCAUAAAGUC
Long non-coding RNA from Acanthopagrus latus (yellowfin seabream), 1251 nucleotides. RefSeq lists it as uncharacterized. The record is from RefSeq and is a predicted model, not a curated record. The transcript has 3 exons. NCBI's taxonomy places the organism in Eukaryota, Metazoa, Chordata, Actinopteri, Spariformes, Sparidae.